Molecule: ribosomal RNA, 253 nt
Filed under: uncultured bacterium
Lineage: Bacteria
Description: partial 16S ribosomal RNA
Rfam family: Bacterial small subunit ribosomal RNA
Source: RNAcentral
UACGUAGGCAGCGAGCGUUGUUCGGAAUUACUGGGCGUAAAGCGUGCGCAGGCGGUGAUGUAAGACCGAUGUGAAAUCCCCGGGCUUAACCUGGGAACUGCAUUGGUGACUGCAUUGCUGGAGUAUGGCAGAGGGGGGUGGAAUUCCACGUGUAGCAGUGAAAUGCGUAGAGAUGUGGAGGAACACCGAUGGCGAAGGCAGCCCCCUGGGCCAAUACUGACGCUGAGGAGCGAAAGCGUGGGGAGCGAACAGG